RNAcentral lists this ribosomal RNA (663 nucleotides) under Acinetobacter baumannii. RNAcentral's name for it is "bacterial SSU rRNA". It matches the Rfam family "Bacterial small subunit ribosomal RNA", at positions 54 to 711 of the family's 1533-position model. Lineage: Bacteria; Pseudomonadati; Pseudomonadota; Gammaproteobacteria; Moraxellales; Moraxellaceae. The record is from RNAcentral.
CAUGCAAGUCGAGCGGGGGAGGUAGCUUGCUACCGGACCUAGCGGCGGACGGGUGAGUAAUGCUUAGGAAUCUGCCUAUUAGUGGGGGACAACAUCUCGAAAGGGAUGCUAAUACCGCAUACGUCCUACGGGAGAAAGCAGGGGAUCUUCGGACCUUGCGCUAAUAGAUGAGCCUAAGUCGGAUUAGCUAGUUGGUGGGGUAAAGGCCUACCAAGGCGACGAUCUGUAGCGGGUCUGAGAGGAUGAUCCGCCACACUGGGACUGAGACACGGCCCAGACUCCUACGGGAGGCAGCAGUGGGGAAUAUUGGACAAUGGGGGGAACCCUGAUCCAGCCAUGCCGCGUGUGUGAAGAAGGCCUUAUGGUUGUAAAGCACUUUAAGCGAGGAGGAGGCUACUUUAGUUAAUACCUAGAGAUAGUGGACGUUACUCGCAGAAUAAGCACCGGCUAACUCUGUGCCAGCAGCCGCGGUAAUACAGAGGGUGCGAGCGUUAAUCGGAUUUACUGGGCGUAAAGCGUGCGUAGGCGGCUUAUUAAGUCGGAUGUGAAAUCCCCGAGCUUAACUUGGGAAUUGCAUUCGAUACUGGUGAGCUAGAGUAUGGGAGAGGAUGGUAGAAAUUCCAGGUGUAGCGGUGAAAUGCGUAAAGAUCUGGAGGAAUACCG